AUUGAACGCUGGCGGCAUGCCUUACACAUGCAAGUCGAACGGCAGCAUGGAAGAGCUUGCUCUUCUGAUGGCGAGUGGCGAACGGGUGAGUAAAGCAUCGGAACGUACCGUGUAGUGGGGGAUAACGUAGCGAAAGUUACGCUAAUACCGCAUACGCACUGAGGUGGAAAGCAGGGGGAUCGCAAGACCUUGCGCUAUACGAGCGGCCGAUGUCAGAUUAGCUAGUUGGUAGGGUAAAGGCCUACCAAGGCGACGAUCUGUAGCGGGUCUGAGAGGAUGAUCCGCCACACUGGGGACCUGAGACACGGCCCAGACUCCUACGGGAGGCAGCAGUGGGGGAAUUUUGGGACAAAUGGGCGAAAGCCUGAUCCAGCCAUGCCGCGUGAGUGAAGAAGGCCUC
RNAcentral lists this ribosomal RNA (400 nucleotides) under uncultured bacterium. RNAcentral's name for it is "bacterial SSU rRNA". It matches the Rfam family "Bacterial small subunit ribosomal RNA", at positions 30 to 418 of the family's 1533-position model. The record is from RNAcentral.